UGGGGAAUAUUGCACAAUGGGCGCAAGCCUGAUGCAGCCAUGCCGCGUGUAUGAAGAAGGCCUUCGGGUUGUAAAGUACUUUCAGCGGGGAGGAAGGUGUUGAGGCUAAUAACCUCAGCAAUUGACGUUACCCGCAGAAGAAGCACCGGCUAACUCCGUGCCAGCAGCCGCGGUAAUACGGAGGGCGCAAGCGUUAAUCGGAAUUACUGGGCGUAAAGCGCACGCAGGCGGUCUGUCAAGUCGGAUGUGAAAUCCCCGGGCUCAACCUGGGAACUGCAUUCGAAACUGGCAGGCUAGAGUCUUGUAGAGGGGGGUAGAAUUCCAGGUGUAGCGGUGAAAUGCGUAGAGAUCUGGAGGAAUACCGGUGGCGAAGGCGGCCCCCUGGACAAAGACUGACGCUCAGGUGCGAAAGCGUGGGGAGCAAACA
This 427-nucleotide ribosomal RNA is filed under the name uncultured bacterium. RNAcentral's name for it is "partial 16S ribosomal RNA". It matches the Rfam family "Bacterial small subunit ribosomal RNA", at positions 355 to 774 of the family's 1533-position model. The record is from RNAcentral.